RNAcentral lists this long non-coding RNA (474 nucleotides) under Lathyrus oleraceus (garden pea). RNAcentral describes it as "Pisum sativum (pea) long non-coding RNA (PSAT_LNC016457)". The record is from RNAcentral. Lineage: Eukaryota; Viridiplantae; Streptophyta; Magnoliopsida; Fabales; Fabaceae.
GGGUUUCGUUGAUGAGUGAUUUCAUAACAGGGACGAGAGGGGCGAGUUCGUUGAGAUUGCCGUCGUUGGGAAAGUUUGAGUUCGUGAGGUUGGGGAGAGGGUGAAGGAAGACGAACAUUUGUGUUCUCCGUUUCCAUUUUUUUUGUUUUUUUUCCUUUUUUAAUUUUUUUUUAUUUAAUUUAAUUUGUUUUUAACACAAAAACCAUAAAAAAUGUUUAAUUUGUUUUUUUAUUUUAACUCUUUUUAUUUUUAUCCCGGUUUAUAUAUUCAACGUAGCAGCACAGUGUUAAAUAACCCUGAGUGGUCUGGUGGAGGAGGGCAGUGUUCAUAUUCUUGAGUUGGGUGGGUUCAAUACUCAUGUGUAGCAUUUUCCUUUGCAUUUUAUUUCUUUUAGUUAUUUUAUUUUUCUUUAGCAUUUUCAUUUAUUCUUAUGUUUAUGCCUUUAUUACACUCAUAUGUUCAUUUUGUUAAGUU